RNAcentral lists this long non-coding RNA (652 nucleotides) under Lynx pardinus (Iberian lynx). The record is from RNAcentral. Lineage: Eukaryota; Metazoa; Chordata; Mammalia; Carnivora; Felidae.
GAGAAAAAAGAUAUAAUUAGCUAAGAAAAUUAUUUAUCUUGAGCAUGUUAAUAGUCUUCACUAAGGUUCUUGCCUCAUUACCCAUCAGCCUGUAGUCCUAUUUUGUCAUCUCUCAGCAUCCCUUCUACCACUUCUGCUCAAGGUUACCCAGUCUGGCAAAUUUUAGUCUUCAGUUGUAAUUGGCUCAUUUGGAUUUGCCGGAUAUUAAGCCUAUUUGGUUUUCCAGGAUAUUAAGCUAUUUAUAAAUACAAAACAAUGAGGUAACAAACAUAUAAAACACUUGGUAAAAAGACAGCAAAGAAACAAAAUAUCAUUUCUGAAUGGUAGCUCUCUGUGGGAUUUUUUUCCUCUCUUUUGGCUUUUCUAUAUUUUACAUAAUGAGAAACUGAAUUCAAUUAAGAAUCUUUCCAUUUUCAUCAUUUUAUUGCCUCUUAGGGGUCAGAACACGCAGAAUAGAAGAAACACUUACUUCAUUUCCUGACCAUCUCUUAUCACCACUGUCCACACUAUUGAAACCUGAAUCAAGGGCUCCAUAAGGGCGUCCUGAGUACAUUUCUUCAUGGCUGCCAAAAAAGAGUCUGGCUGUUACUGGGAAGUCUGAGGUUUUAAAAUUAACAUCUGAAAUAAACCGAAUGCAAUUUUACUAAUAAAC